Molecule: ribosomal RNA, 497 nt
Filed under: uncultured bacterium
Lineage: Bacteria
Description: partial 16S ribosomal RNA
Rfam family: Bacterial small subunit ribosomal RNA
Source: RNAcentral
GAUGAACGCUGGCGGCGUGCCUAAUACAUGCAAGUCGAGCGAACGGACGAGAAGCUUGCUUCUCUGAUGUUAGCGGCGGACGGGUGAGUAACACGUGGAUAACCUACCUAUAAGACUGGGAUAACUUCGGGAAACCGGAGCUAAUACCGGAUAAUAUUUUGAACCGCAUGGUUCAAAAGUGAAAGACGGUCUUGCUGUCACUUAUCGAUGGAUCCGCGCUGCAUUAGCUAGUUGGUAAGGUAACGGCUUACCAAGGCAACGAUGCAUAGCCGACCUGAGAGGGUGAUCGGCCACACGGGAACUGAGACACGGUCCAGACUCCUACGGGAGGCAGCAGUAGGGAAUCUUCCGCAAUGGGCGAAAGCCUGACGGAGCAACGCCGCGUGAGUGAUGAAGGUCUUCGGAUCGUAAAACUCUGUUAUUAGGGAAGAACAUAUGUGUAAGUAACUGUGCACAUCUUGACGGUACCUAAUCAGAAAGCCACGGCUAACUACGUG